CAGCCGCCGCGGUAAUACGUAAGGACCGAGCGUUGUCCGGAAUCAUUGGGCGUAAAGGGUACGUAGGCGGUUAUCUAAGUUAGAAGUGAAAGGCUAUAGCUCACCUAUAGUAAGCUUUUAAAACUGGAUAACUUGAGAGAUGGAAGGGAAAGUGGAACUCCUAGUGUAGCGGUGAAAUGCGCAGAUAUUAGGAGGAAUACCGGUGGCGAAGGCGACUUUCUGGCCAUUUUCUGACGCUGAGGUACGAAAGCGUGGGUAGCAAACAGGAUUAGAUACCCCCGUAGUCCCUGUCUCUUAUACA
This 301-nucleotide ribosomal RNA is filed under the name uncultured bacterium. RNAcentral describes it as "partial 16S ribosomal RNA". It matches the Rfam family "Bacterial small subunit ribosomal RNA", at positions 509 to 808 of the family's 1533-position model. The record is from RNAcentral.